GGAAGCGAUGUACAUCGAUGAUGGAGUUAUGAAAACCCGACAUUGAGAUGCAUCCCCCGAAGAUUCCAGCGAUUCCAAUCUCAGUAUAUUUGACGGCUGCUGUUCCAUUGAUGAGUGUCACUUCCUGACCUCGCCCAAGGCUGCAAGCCAGUGCAAUGUUUCCAUUUGAUCUCCUCGAGAGGAUCCUGUUACAACCUGAUCAGCAGAGCCGUGGAGCAGCUGAACACAGAACUCUAGGCAUGUGAUUUUCCUGUCACCUUAGUAAACAGGUCUGUGGGUGUUUGGUGAAAACGUUCUCUUGUCUUGGAAGAGCCACAGAGCUCUUCACAGGUUAGGCCCCAGCAGGAGGGACAGCUGCCAGCACAGCAAAGCCAUGUGGGUUGGUGGCACAGGCAGCAGACAAGAUCCCUGCAAACUCAGGCUACACAAGUCAGUAAAGAGCAAUGAAUCUUUUGGUGGUUUCUCCAUUCAGUAACGGUAAUUGAUUUUUACAUUGAUUGGUGGGAAAAGAGCCCCAUUAAUAUGAAUAAGAUUUCAUACUGGAUAUACACAUACUUGUUCCUGUGGUGCUGUAAGGAAUACAAAAAGCUCUGUAUAAAUCAGUUUGAAUUAGUAAUAUAACUUUUAGAUGCACUUUGCCUCUCUUCCUCAUUGUUUAUUCAAUGUUUGAGAACGGUCUGUAUCCUGUCUAUCCACAUGUAUUUUUCAUGCUGUAAGCAGAAAUCACUAGUACACCAAGAGUACAGGUUGCAUGCUUUGGAAGAGAAAGAUCUGACCACGAUGCUGACCUUGUCUUUGCCAUAAGUAAAAAACAAUAAAAUAAUUUCCCUCUUUAAA
Vidua macroura (Pin-tailed whydah) is the source of this 837-nucleotide long non-coding RNA. RefSeq lists it as uncharacterized. NCBI's taxonomy places the organism in Eukaryota, Metazoa, Chordata, Aves, Passeriformes, Viduidae. The record is from RefSeq and is a predicted model, not a curated record. The transcript has 2 exons.